This 492-nucleotide ribosomal RNA is filed under the name uncultured bacterium. RNAcentral's name for it is "partial 16S ribosomal RNA". It matches the Rfam family "Bacterial small subunit ribosomal RNA", at positions 29 to 507 of the family's 1533-position model. The record is from RNAcentral.
AGUGAACGCUGGCGGUAGGCCUAACACAUGCAAGUCGAACGGCAGCACAGUAAGAGCUUGCUCUUACGGGUGGCGAGUGGCGGACGGGUGAGGAAUACAUCGGAAUCUACUUUUUCGUGGGGGAUAACGUAGGGAAACUUACGCUAAUACCGCAUACGACCUACGGGUGAAAGCAGGGGAUCUUCGGACCUUGCGCGAUUGAAUGAGCCGAUGUCGGUUUAGCUAGUUGGCGGGGUAAAGGCCCACCAAGGCGACGAUCCGUAGCUGGUCUGAGAGGAUGAUCAGACACACUGGAACUGAGACACGGUCCAGAAUCCUACGGGAGGCAGCAGUGGGGAAUAUUGGACAAUGGGCGCAAGCCUGAUCCAGCCAUACCGCGUGGGUGAAGAAGGCCUUCGGGUUGUAAAGCCCUUUUGUUGGGAAAGAAAAGCAGCAGGUUAAUACCCCGCUGUUCUGACGGUACCCAAAGAAUAAGCACCGGCUAACUUCGUG